Papaver somniferum (opium poppy) is the source of this 198-nucleotide long non-coding RNA. RefSeq lists it as uncharacterized. NCBI's taxonomy places the organism in Eukaryota, Viridiplantae, Streptophyta, Magnoliopsida, Ranunculales, Papaveraceae. The transcript is spliced from 3 exons. The record is from RefSeq and is a predicted model, not a curated record.
GGGGUUCUCAAGCAGAAUGGCUUGUGAGUACACUUAAAAGUUUGAGGCAGCUGACCUGAAAUUUGUGGUGGGGAUGAAAGUGGAAAGUACUGGAGAGCUUCCAAGUCACCAUUUUUAGACGGAAGUGCAAUUCCAUCCCAUGUUCAAAUUAAGACCUGGACGGCCUUCUGCUUUAAAUCUAUCGCUGGAGCAUGAAUU